UACGUAGGGAGCAAGCGUUGUCCGGAAUCAUUGGGCGUAAAGCGCGCGUAGGUGGCCAUGUAAGUCCGCUGUGAAAGUCAAAGGCUCAACCUUUGAAAGCCGGUGGAUACCGCAUGGCUAGAGUACGGAAGAGGCGAGUGGAAUUCCUGGUGUAGCGGUGGAAUGCGCAGAUAUCAGGAGGAACACCAAUAGCGAAGGCAGCUCGCUGGGACGUCACUGACACUGAGGCGCGAAAGCGUGGGGAGCGAACAGG
Molecule: ribosomal RNA, 253 nt
Filed under: uncultured bacterium
Lineage: Bacteria
Description: partial 16S ribosomal RNA
Rfam family: Bacterial small subunit ribosomal RNA
Source: RNAcentral